AAUGACUAAGAAGGAUCAAACAGAACAAAAAGUUUGAGUGGGAUAUAAGCCUUGGGCGUCAGCUCUCCCCUCCUUAGGGAAAUCUGGUCAAUCAGAGAAAGGAUGGGUAUUAUUAUUGCAUUUUACAGAUGAGGAAUAUGAAGGCUGUUUCCUGAGGACCGAAUCUUGGUCUAAUUCUUCUUUUACCAGGCUGUAGUUUUCAGGUGAUGGCACUGCCCAGUCUGGGCAGGGGAGGGGCGCUUGUUAGCUUGAAAGAGUCGGCCCUGUUCCUUUCUGGAAGUCAUGGGACAGGGAACUGAGAAUUGGGUUUCUGGCAUGUGUCUGCCACUCAGCUGUCACCUUCGUUGAGCCCUGAGGAGAGAUCUAGGAAAUGACCAGCCCAUCUAAACAUCCGAGACUCCCAGCUUGGUUGCCAAAGAAGUCAUCACAAGUAUUCAAAAGAUGUCCCUGUUCAGCCACUCCAAUAGCCCAGUCAACACAGCUGCUAAGACCGUUUAAAAACCCAACAGAUAUUUGGGUUUGUGGACAUGAAACACGCCUUCUGGGUAAACUUGCUCCUCUGGUUAAAAGGAUAAAAAGGACCUCAGCUUUGGAACAGCCUCUUAACGGGUAUUUUUCUCCACCUGUUCUUGCAUAUUUCUACACCAGAAGGGGGUUGCAGUCACCUCUCCCAGGCUCUCCAGUGUAUGUCCCUCAUAAGCUCUGGCCUCUGGCAUUGUGCAGGUCACGGCAACACCUGGAAAGCUGGUUGGUUUCCUGGAGGGCCCACCACCUGUGGUUCCAGCACCCACUUGAGGUUCUGUUCAUACUGAAUUAGAUAAUGGGGAGGUGAGGGAAUGUAGAAGGAGAAAGAAAAAGAAACAGCCAAGUGAGGAGAAUAGGAAAUGGUCUUCUCAACUUCUCAUGGGAUGUCUGCAUGGCCAACACACUCUUGCCUCCAUGUUUUCAUUUAUUAUUGGGACUAUACCCUUCUGGCUGGAGCUGAUUAUUAACAUUCAUAUUCUUUAAGGACUUGGAAUGAAAACCAGAACUCUGGUUCUCUAAUUAGCCUGUGCUGAACCAUGCAGAGCCAGAGAAUGGUGCAGCCAUUCUCUACCAUUCUAAUACUGAUAUAGAAAACAUUUGAUCUGGAGAAAAGGGGAAACUGGGAGAAAGGGAGAGAGGGAGAGAGAGAGAGAUAAAGAGAGAGAAGCAAGUGACCAUGCAGAGCUUCUAGAAAGAUAUAUGGAAUAACUUGAUUGCUGAUGCUCCAUUUUCUGGUGCAAGUCUUUUAUGAGGCCCAGAUGCAUUUCUGGCCCUGGGGUUCCCAUGAGACACUCUAUGUCCUUCCAGUAAAUUCUGUAUUUUGCUUCAACUAGUUUAAGUAAGUAUCUCUUCCUUGUUACCAGAGAGUCUGGACUAAGGCUUGUUUCUAAAUGGUCCACACUGGCCCACCUCCUACUCUGAUUCCAAAAUGAAGUUUCUCCCUCAGGACUGUCUUAAGCGGACCUUGAGUCUCUCAGUUUUUCAAGGUUUAGCCUUUCUGGGCACCCCUCCCUCUUUCUGGGUUUUAGCCUAGUCCUGUCUUCUCUUAAGCUGCUUAGGGCUCUUGGUCCAGCACCAGCUAAAAUGAAAAUAACCAGACCACUUGGGUGCCACCUGGUUUGGAGUUAAAAUGAAGUCCUGGUUUUCGUAUUUGAGGUAGUAAUGUGAUUUAACAGAACAUAUCCAGUUUCUUUUCAGCAUGCUACACUUGGUGGCUUUAGAUAACUUAGGCGUUUCACAUGUAUUUUAACUUAAUUAUGAAAUGGAAGUGGCCUCCUAGUUGCUGUGUAAGCAUGAUAUCUGAAACAUAGUAGACACUCAGUAAAUGAAUGCCGAGUAAAUGAAAUGAAUGAAUGAUCCUCUUUAUCCAUGAGAAAGAGGGGGAAGAAUUUCAAUAAACUGGAGUUUUUUAGUGGGGGAAAAAAAAAGGUGUCAGGGAAAUGUACCUGACCACAAAAGGCUUUUGUCCUUCAACUCUUUAAGCAAGAAAACCCUAAUCAUAAUGGAUUGAACAUAUUAGAAUGUGAUUAUGUAGCGCAGCGGUCUUUAGCUGCAGGAGGUCUUGUAAUUUGCAUUCACAAAAUGGCCUGCCUAGAAGAAAGCAGCCUGGGUGCCUGAUGAGGACACAGAGUUUCACAGUUGGGGGUUGGUGUAGGUCCGACCUUAGCAGAAGGAAAUAAUUAAACAUUCGUUUCCUAAAAACAGCACACAGAAUUGGGAGCCAAUCAUCUUUGUUGCAACCACUCUCGGAUUCUGCCCUUUGGUUGGCCACUUAGUAGCAAUGUUCCAUUCCAGUCAAGGAGGGAUCAGCUUGCUCUCAGCUUUGGUCCUAAUUUCUAAACAAGCACAAGCCCUGCUCAAAAAAGUAAACUGGAAUAAAUGUUUUUCCAUUUCUUCAUGACUCUGUAGAUGAAGCCAAAAUAUUAAGGACAUAUUUUCUUAAACGAAAAUAAUUCUGCCUAGCUUUACCACAAAUUUCUAGAUCUGGAAUUUUAAUUUCAAUCUUAAGGAACUGCCAAACCAAAAAAUACUGCAAAUGUAAGAAUGUGAUUUGACUAUAAAACUAAGGCAAGGUUGCACUACCUUCUCUACGUUCUCUCUCUCUCAACAUUCUAGGAGAAAAACAUUCCUCAACUGCAGUAUUUUCUAUCCUCUUAUGAACCAUCUCCUUUUAGCCUUUUGUCUUUUACUAAUACUUUCUUAAUAUCAAAUCACAGGAGUAGCCUGGGCACCCUGAAACAUUUCAUAUCAGAAGAGGGGAAGCUGCACAUGCUAUUCUGGGGCUCAUCACAGGACACCCCAAAGUUUGGCACCUUGGUGUGCUAAGUACUUUAAAUUAAAGGAGAUUGAAAGAGCCUCAGAAACAGCCCCCUAAGCAAGGCUUUAGCCCCGUCUGGUUAAAGGAUGUAACAUCGCUGGGGACCUGAGCAAUCACUCCUCCUUCAUUGUUCUGGACAGUGGGGAGAUGCAGAGAAAGGAAAGGAGAAAAGUCACUGGGAGAGAAAUCUGAUGAGAGAAAGAUAAAGGACUCUAUGACACAAUCAAAUAUGAAGUACAAAGAAAGGAAAAAGGAAGCUUAGAAAAAGAUAACCCAAAGAGAAGAAGGAGACAAUUUGGUAGAAGAGGAAAUGAGACAGACAGCCCAAGUGAACUAAGGGGAAAAGGAGGGAAAAACCGAGAAGGAAGAAUAAAAAGAGAAGGUGGAAAAGAAAAAAAAAUGGAAGAGUGCCAGGCUGGUGGAGAAACAGAUAAGAGCUCCACAGGUAGAGUGCGAAAAUAUAAACCUGAGGGAUAGAUAACACACCCAGGGCUCAAUGAUACACUAACCGUUGUGAGCAAGACAGAUGGUUAAUGACCCUACAAAUGGGAGUGCAAGAGAGUUGCAGUAAUUCGAUAGAUUGAUACUUAAGAGAUCCACGUGGUUCCAUUGAUUCAUUUCCUUCAGGCCAGCUUCCUUAUCAAUAUAAUUAUCAUGGCCAGCACCAGAGGUGUCUCCAGGUAAUUUGUAAGAGGUGGAUAACAGGAUCAUCCUCAAGGCUGAUUUAGUGCCUUGUUAAUGAGGUGCUCACUCCCCUCUAGGGAGGCCUGCAGGGAGAGACUUGGGUCACCCAGGUUGGCUGAAGCUUGUGUCCCAUCCAAAGUUGUUUUUCUUUUCCUCUGCCUCCCCUACAUGACCUCCUCUUACUUUUUGCAGGACUGGGAGGAAGGACUGGGAAGGUGAGAAGGAAAAGAAGUAGCCAGAAGGUACCCACAUGCCUUUGAGCUUUUUUCUUUUUGUUUUUCUGGAGUCAAAACGGAAUGGAAAAGACCACCAUGAGGCAGAGGGGCCUCAGGAAAAAAAAAGCAGUGUAGGAGGGAGAAUGAAAUGAGUGUGUAGGUCGUUGGGCAGGGAAGGAGAAGUGACCUCCCAGGGGCUGGGUGGCUGGUGCCAUAUUUGGAUUUUCCAGCUUCUGCCAUUCGUGGUCCCCACUCUGUCCUUAGGGGUGAUUUAUAAACCAGAAUUAUGUCUGUGGAAAAUGACACUGGCUUUUUUUUUUUUUUUUUUUUAGUUAGAAUUCGUUUAAAAAUAGUUUCCUCCCUGCCGUUGGGAUGCUCUGUCACUUGGAGAAAGAGGGUAAUUAUGAAAGACGAGGGUGUAAUGUGAUUACAGCCGGCCCCAUUGUGUCAGUGGAGGCAGCACAGAGCUGCUGGGAGAACUCGGAGCCAGCCCCUCUCCAUCAGCGCUGGGCCUUUAUUGGGCCUGUCAGAUUUCUGAAAAGAACCCGAGGGCAGAAAACUCCCAGCAGACAGGACUCCAUGGCUGGCCCAAAGCUGUCAACAAGGACAUGGAAUGGUGUGGGAGGAUGUGCUGGGCCAGCCCGGGUGCUGCCUCCCACCAGGCCUGGCUGCCCAACGCCCCUGACCAUGUGCUCUCUGAUGUAUCCCCAUGUGGGAAUCUGCAGGAAGGGUCUUUGGUUCAGAACCUAACAGAUCCACACUCAUUUUUCAGCACAGGCUGUCAGCCAGUGUGUUUGUGGCUUCAUGUCAGUAUGGAUUAGGAGAAACCUCAGUGGCUGUUAUAUGGGACCUGACUUCUAGUCUUUUCCUCUGAUUCUGCCUUGUACUACCUGGGAGAACUCUAACUGACAUUACCUUUCACAGAGAUUUCUUCUUCAUCUGGAAAAUGGGAUCUUGAGUAUCAAUCAAGGGAAUGAUACCAAGGGAAUAAUGAAAAUAUCAUGAUCAGAAGUGAAGACUGGAAGUGAGGGCUACUGAUGGAGGUUAACACCACCAAUGUAUCUUCUUCCAAGACUUGAGAUCUUGUUUCCCCAACUGGCAAGAUAUAAGAAGGCAUCAUGGGUGAGCCUCUGCCUGUGAAGAGGGGGCCAGGGAUAUGGGGUUCCUGGGUGGGAGUGUUGAAGCAGGGCCUGCACAUCACAGGUGGAGGAGGCAUCCACAGAGGAUGAUGUCCCAGAGGCAGGUCUGCAAGGAGUCCUCUAAGUGAAUGGCAACAUUGCUCCUUGAGAAGCUGACCCUAUAGUAAAGAACUGUGAGAAUUGUCUGGUAAAAGCUGAUGGGCAAAAGUAGCCAAAGGAUACAAGGAUUGGCUGGUCCCAUUUUCUGGGCACUGCAUGAGAAAAGACUGGAACGUCUGUGUUAGAAGUAAUAGCAGGUAGCCCUGCACCAAGGAAGACACAGAAGAAAACCCUCAGCUCCAGAAAGAGGAAUCCAAAACUUGCCCGGGCAGCAAAAGUCACCCCUAAGGAUAGAAAAUGGGCACCCUGAGACACCUGCAUUACAUUUUCCUUUCCUUUCUUUCUAUAGCCUUCUCUUUAUUUCCCCCUUCUUAUUUCCCAUUAUCUUUCUUACUCUCCUUUCUUACCUUCCUCAUUUCAUUUUCUCUUCCCUCUAUCCUCCAUCUUUCUUUUCCCUUCUUCUUUCAGUCUUCCCAUUAUUUCAAGGCUGUUCCUCCUGCUGAGUAUUUUUUUAUAUUGCUUUAGUUUCCACGAUAUUGUAUUAGGAGCCUAGGGGCAUUUGCUCUGCUCCUUAUAUGCUUAUAACCUAACUGGAACUGAGACUGCUAGACUUCACCCAAUACUGGCCCUCCUCUUCUCUCUUGGUGGCAAACACGUAAUGUGAUUUGGGACCACAUUGCAUCCAGCUUGAAGACUGCAUUUCCGUCUUUCCUGUUAGGAGUGGCAAGGUAAUCAAGGUAGAGCCAAUGAGAUGUAAGUUGAUUAUAAUGUGGGACUCUGAGAAAGUUGACCAGCUGUGAAAUAUAGGCGCUGACCAGCUGAUAAUUGCACCCUUUUUGCCCUUUCCACUUCCUUCUUCCUAUUAAUUGGAGCAUGAGCAUGAUGGUUGGAGCUCCAGAAGCCAUCUUGGACCAUGCAGUGAAUGUGAGGAGGAAACUACACAAUCUGAGGAGUAAAGAGCAAACAGAAGGAGCCUGGGGUCAUGCUGACACUGUGUCCACAAUACUAAUCCUGGACUGGAUGUCUCUGGACUUCCUAUACAUUGUUUAAGCCACCAAUACCUCCAGUCUCUGUGAUUAUAGCUGAACUCAGCACUAAAUGAUUCAAUAACCUCAUCAAAAAAUACUUCACAUGCUCCACUAUCCCCUGCUAGAUCAUUUCCUCUUCUGUCUUCACUAUCAAGUAGGAUUUGAUGCUUUGAGGGUAGCCUGGGCACCAUCAAGUUAGACAGCUCAUCUUAAGCAACGUAGCAUCUCUCACUCUGUUCUCCAUCCAAGAAACCCUUCACAGAAACAACAUGGGACUUUGGGGAGUUAGGGGAUGUCACAGCUGAAGGCCUGUGUCCUUUGUACUUGCAGUAGAGCCUCCUACACAAGUGUCAUACGGAGAAGUGAAGACAAUCUGUCUGAGGCUGUCAGCUACUGUCCAGGAACUUGGGCAAGGCAACAAUUUAUGAGAUGCCUUUAACUCUGGGUGCAGGAGAGGGCUUCAUCAAACAGACUUUGCUGGCUGUGUUGUAUGUACAUUCACAAAGUAAUUUACAGUUCCCUUGGAAACAUGAAAAAGUUUGGGUCUAAAUUUAGAGCGUUCACUCUGAGCUGAUGUAAUAAGCUCAAAGAAUAUUCAGAAUGAAGAAACAUGGGACAAUUCACCCAUCAAUUUAUAAAUAUCAAAUCCAUCCAUUGCGUCACUGAGACCACAGUUGCUCCUUCAGGAGGUUAGUACCCCACCUGCUUCUCACAGUCAGGGAACAGAGGGGAAGUAACUACUUUUCUGCCUGCUCCAGGAACUCUAGUCCUCAGUGCAUUAUUUUCUGGUUUACUCCUUUGCCUUCUCAGUUGUGUGAGGCCCCAUGACAUUUGCCAUCUGUCUUCUGUUAAAUUUUCUUGCAAAGUGUCUCAGUGUGUGGCCCCAAGGAACCAGCAGCAUGCAAAGCUCUGGAUGUGGCCAGAUUGCAUUUUCAAGAUUCAUCCACAUGCUGGUUUCCUAGGAAGGUUCUGACAGCCUGUGAGGUAAUGCACAUCCAUUUCCAGAGAGCAGGCGUGAGGCAGAGCACUGGAAGGAAUAAAAGCACCAGAGAAGCGCCACCUUUUUUUGUUAACAUAUGGGCUUUUGACUGUCCCUGGGAACACAAUUCCUUCCCUGGGCCUGAUAAUUGAUCACCUCUUGCCUGAAUUGGGGAUGAGUCCUCCAACUGAUCUUGCUCGGCUUCCUGCCUGUCGCCCUCCCAGCCAUUCUCCAGACGGCUGGAGAGAGGAGCCGGCCAGCACCGCGGCUGCUCACUGGCACCCCCUGCUGGGCUGUAACACUGUGACCUUCCCGCCAUUUGCCCUGCAGUUCCUUACUUUCACCACACCACACACACCUUACCUCACAAACUCCUUAAUUUUGAGGCUCUGAUAUCACCUCUUCCAGGAAGUUUUCCAUAAUUCUCACCAUGAUUCUGGGGUAAUUGCUUCUCCUUUUCACUCCCACAGCCAGCACUCUAUCAUUGCACUUUUAUGUUGCCUCGGUAAUCUAUUUUUAUAUUUCUGUCUUCUCUGUUAGACUGUGAGCUCCUUAAGGACAAGGACUGAACUGCGUUGGGAAAGUGUUGGAGGGUUAUAGCAGAGGAAUGACAUGAUCUGACCUACGUUUUGAAAGAUCACGCGGCUGCUUAUGGAGAAUGGUCUCGUGAGUUGGGGAGGGGCGCAAGUUGGAAGUAGAAAGACCAGUUAGAAGGCAGAUGAGACAUGAUGGUGGCUUGGACCAGGAUGGCAGUGGAAGCACAAGUAUGUCACGGUCAGAUUCUAGACCCCUUUUGAAGAAGAAUUAGUGGGAUUUGCUGAUGGAUUGAUAGUAGGUGAGAGAAAGAAAGAAGUUAAAGAUGGUGCCGGAUAUUUUGGCCUGUGGAAAUAGAAGAUUGGCAUUGCAAUAACUAUGACGGGAAAGAUCACAGAGGAUCAGGUUUAGAAUAGGGAGUAAUUAAAGGUUCAACUGGGGACAUAUAAAAUUUGAGAUAGCUAUUAGAACUCCAGGAAGUCAUGUUGAGGGGAACGUUGAAUUUAUGAAUCUGGAAUUCAGGGAGAAGUUGGGCUGGAGAUGUAAGUUUGGUGAAUAUUCAUGGAAAUGGGUGGGGUGAGCGUAGGAGGAGAAAAGAAAGAAUCUGAGGACUGAUCCCUGUGGCACUCCAGCGUUUAGAAUUUCAUUGAUGAGGAGAGCCCAGCAAAGGAGAAUGAGAAGGAGCGACUAUGGAGGUGAGAGGGGAACCAAGAGUGGAUUCAUUGAUACCAACUGAAGACCAUAUUUCAGGUGGAGAAUACAAUUCUGUUAAGAGUUGAGAAUAGAUUCAAUAAGAUCUGUUAGUCCUAUUAGAUCUUCAGUCUGAGGAUUGAGAACCGACCAUUGGAUUUGAAAAUGUGAAAGUCAUAAAUGAUUUAAGAACAGUGGAAAAUAGAUGAUACUAAUAGAGAGGAUAUCUGCUGGACUGAUGUCCUUAAGUAAGAGAGAGGGAUAAGGUCCAAUAUGCAAACGAAGGGGACUGGUUUUAGAUAAAACCUAGUCACUAGAGGAAAGGCAGAGAUAUGGCCAUAAAAGCAAACUGGUUUGUAGAUGGGAAGGUGGGAGUGGAUGCAAUUUCUCUUUUGAUUGCUUCCUUUUCUCAAAGAAAUAAGAAGCCAGGUCGUCAGCUGAGCGCGAAGGUGAGAGCAGAUGUCUUAUUCAUCUCUGCACCAUCCUCUUGUCCCCAGCAAUUAACAUGAUGCCUGGCACGUGGUUGGCAUUAACACAGGUUGGUAAAUAAGUGAAUUGGAGAUCUGCCAAAUGACUUCACGUUAGGGUUUUGGUUUUCUUUUCUGUCUUGGAGAUGUAAUUUCACUCUAGUUUUGAUCUGUUUUAUGUGUUCAGAAUAUUUGUUGGAAUUAUGCAAAAAGAGGAAGGGAUAUCAUGAUAGAAAACAACAUAUUUUUGACUAAAAAUAUAAUAGAUGAGUGAUUUCAUAUUAUAUGCAUAUAGUGUGUUUAUAUGUACAUGUACGCAUGUUACAAAUUUACCUGCUUUUACACCAACUUAAAUAUUUGUUAAUAAUACCAGAUACAAUAUAUAUUAAAUAAGAAGCAAAUCCAUUAUAGACGUUGACAACAUUCUACCAGAUAUAAAAAUACAGACACUUUCAAGAGAUUGGGAGAAGUCGGGUCCAUGCAUGACCAGCACAGCUCUGUGUGUGUGUGUGUGUUGGUGAGUGGGCUCUAGGUAGCCCCUCGAGCUACAUUAUAGAAAUCACUAUACCUCAUCUACCUAGUCCUAAGUCUGGCCUGGGUAGGACCAUGUCCUGUUCUGCCUUCCCAGCUGAUGAUUUCUGACCAGCUAUUUCUCAGUGACUUAACCUAAAAAGCUCCUAAUAUUAUAUCAUAUUGUUGAGAGAAGAACAUGAGGAAAGGCUUCUUUAAAAAAUCUAAAAGCCAAGGUGGUGGGGGUUAGAUAAGCAAGGAAGAGGAGUGUGAAUUACUAAAAAACAGAGCUGAAAAGUUAUGUAGAAGCGUGACAUAUUUUGCAUUUGGAAGUCUUCCCAACCCGAAGCUAGCUGCAGUGGUAACAGAGGGGGAAAAGCUGGCAUCUGUUGGAUGACGGUGGAGUCUCUGGGACUGCCGUGAUUUCAAUCUGUGGAGGGGCUGCCUGUUUAUCUUCUCCCAAGCAGGGGCUCUUCAAGAAUACAGCUGGUAGGCAGUGCAGUCAAUUUUAGUUUGCCUCAUUUAUCUCCUUUUUUUUAUAUCUUAUUUUUCUCUUUUAUUUUAUAUCUUAUUAUUUCUUAUUUUAGCUUUUUCCCUUCUCUCUUCCCCCUUCUCUUUCAACCAAUUCAUAGAAUUCAUUGUGAAAAGCAGGCAGCAGGACACGGAAACUAGUCUCAUAAAUUAUGACAAGAUGACCCCCCAUCAGUUUGGCUCCGAACCGCAAGAGUGGUAGGGGGCUUAAGUAGGAACAAGAUGAAAGUGAGUGGAAGUGAAGUGGUCCCAGGGUCAUGCCUGAAGAGAGGGUGGAAGACCAGAAGAGAGAUGGCUUAAAGCACUGAUAUUGAAUUUUAAGGCUCUGAAAUUAUAUUGACUGCAUUAUUGGAACAUUGAGAGUGAGAAGGUGGUCUCAAGGCCAACUCAUGCAAACAGAGGUUGCAUUUGGAAGCCCUGAACCAUGACUGGAUGUGUUUUCUGUCGAGACAGAUGCACACAGAGCAAGCAGAGGGAAGAGAAUGCUUCCACCUGCAUCUGCCCUGGCAUGCUUCAGCCAUUAGCUCUUCUCUUUCCAAGCAUUCAAACAUAUUAAAUAGGAAAAGUCUCGUCAAUUGCCCGAGACUAUAUUUAUUCAAAUCAGCCAGAAUGGGUUUCUCAAAGCAAAUGUCAACAUAUCAGAGAGGUGCAAGUGAUCUAGGAGAACACAGUCUUGAGACAACUCUGAAACAGGUUAUCACACUCAAAGACAGUUGAUACAUUUCCAGGCUCUACAAAUUUACCUAUAUUGUAUACCAUGUUGUAAAAUUUCAAUACUUUUCCAAAUGUUCAGUGCUAUUCUGGUUUUAGAAGGCUGUAAUACGUGUGGAAUGGGUUGUAAAGAUAGUAACAUAUUCACCCUUGUAUAUUUACAGCACAUUCCUGCAGGCAACUUGUAGCUCAGUGGAACAUUUACUCUGUAGUAUAAUUUUUCAAUAAUAUUACAUACAUUAAUAAAGGUAAUUUAGAAAAAGCCCCAUAAAGUCAUUUGACAUUUUUUGCAAAUUGCCAGAGUAAUAAAAAUGCCUUUACAUUAUGCUGCAAUGGAAAACUGUGCCCUUUUGCUUGAUUAAGUCCCUUCAGCGUUUACAACUAGAUAUUUGUGUGUCACUUUAUUGCCAUCUUAUUUUAAUUUGAGCUAUGGAUUUCCUGCUCUGAAUGGCGCUACCCUUAUAGUUUUGGAGAAGGGCACUCUUAUCUUGCACAGCAGGAAGAUCAGAGGCAUGAAUCCUGGCCUAGAAUGUCCUAUCUCUACUAACUGCUCGUGAUACUUAGAUUAUACCCCAGGCUCCCAGUUCAAUCAGGUUUUCCAGUCAAUGCUUAGCAAGUGUUUAUUCAUCAUCUUCUAUAUGCUUAGCUCUGGUAGUGACUGUGGGGGAUACCUAAGUAAGACUGUAGUCUGGGGUAAGAAGUUUUUAAAUAGCUUUGCUAAGGGUCUGGGGUAGAGGGUAAGACAGCCCCAGUACGUGUUUCAGCUUCCGUAGAUGAUCACUACAUUUCUCUGCUGGAACCAAGGAGAACUGUCUUAGCUCUGAGAAAGAGGAAAGACUGGGAAGAAAGAGGAGGGAGGGUCUAUGAGAAAAGAAGAUGGUGAGUUAGGAAGGAAGGAAGAAGAAAAGGGAAUGCAAAAAGACAGAUUCUGAGAUUGCUCCUUAGUUUGAGAAGUGAUUUCCUUCUUUGGAAACCUUUAGGAAGUUUUACUGUUCCUACAGAUGAUCUGGUUAGGGGUUGAUUUUUUGGGGUGUAGGAUCUGCAGAGGAAUCUGAUAGAGGACUGGAUUUCUAACUGAUGUAUGCUUAAGCCACAGGGGCUCAUAAAACCAUGUUUAUGGGAGAGCUUUAGGCUUCAUCUGGCCAUGGACUUGGGGGGUGGUCUGUGUCCAUUAAAUCUAGAUCUCUUGGAACAGGGAGGCCCCCAGCCAACUUUUGAGUUAAACCAUAAUCAGAGACUCCAAUCAAAAUACUUAUAACCAGAUCAGAAAAUUAAAACCAACACACAAAGCCAAGCCAUCUGAUAGAGACAAUAUAACAAAGUGGUACUUUGUGAGUUAUGGCUGUGCUGGUCAGGAGAGGAAGGACCCCUGCAAGAUGAGGGUGGGUUUUAAAGAGCUUCUUGAUUUCCUGACCAAGCAAUCUAAGACCCCUUUAAAGGAAUACGUGAGACUCAAUGGGGGCCUUAGAUGGUCUAAGGAUUUGGCUCAGCUGAACAGAAUUUGGGGGCAUGCAAAGAAAGAGGUGCACCCACAAACAGAUGCAUGGCAGGUAGAGGAAGUGUGGCUGGCCCACCACUGGGUUCCCUACUCCUUGGUCUAUGGUCAGAACUUUCUGGGCCCUGAUUCCUACAAAUAUGUUAGGUCCAGACUCAAACGUGUCCUUCACACACCACGUCCCAGAAAUAACAAAUACCAUAGUUCAUUCACUCAUUCAUUCAAAAAGGCGGGUAGCAUUCUUAUUGCUAUAAUUACAGUGGUAAAUAAUACAGGCAGAGUUUCCGUCCUGUCCCAUGGGAGAGACAGAGGCCUAGCCUAUAAACCCACACAAUGAGACAACUCUAAAUUGUAACUGAUAACUUGGAGAGAACCAACAGGAUGCUGUUGGAGGCCACUGCAGGGCCUUGCUGGGGAGAUGAUGUUUAAUCUGGGACCUGAAGAAAUGAUCAAGAAAAAGUCAUGAAGAGAGUAUGGGAACAGAGAAAGGAAUGACUCAGGGAGAGGGGAAAGUGUGUGUGAAGGCCAUGAGUGGGGAGUGAAUUUGAUGCUUUGGAAGAUGUUUGAAGAUCAACAUGGCAGAGUUAGUAAGACAGUAAGAAGCCUGAGACAGAGCUAGGGAGAGAGUUGGACCAGAUAAUUUAAAGCCUUGUAAGCCAAACACAGGAAUUUAGGUUCUGUGCUGACUACAAUGAGAAUUCAUCAGAAGAUUUUGAGCAGCAGUGUUAAACCUGUUCAAAGAUUUUUUUUUUUUUCAUUUCUUGGUUUCUCUGUGAAAAAUUUUAACAAUACAUUCAACACAAAAAGUGUUGACUUUACAGGCGUGUGCAAGCCGCAGUCAUCUAUGCUACAGAAAAUGGCAUAACCUGCUAAGGUUUACUCAUUACGGGUCCCGGAGCAGCCAACAGAUGGAUAAUAACAUUUAGUCACUACCGACUGGUAAUUACAGUAUGCAUUUAAAGAAGAAAUAAGUACAUUUCCUGCUUCAAGUUCUCUCUUACGAAAUGGAGAACCAAUAUCUCCCACAUUGUAUACCAGAGACGCAAUCCAUAGCCCCAGAUCUGAUAGAAAACUCCCUGAGGUUAAUAAUUCAUGCAUGACUUGUGAUUGCAGUUGUACGUUACAUCUGUUUUCAUUAGAUGUUCCCCUUUAUUGAGUUUUCACAGUGCACAUCAGCAGCCUCUAUGUGCCCCUGUUCAAAAUAAGCUGCUUGCUUUUAAAAUGUUCUGGACUAUAUAAUUUCAUCUGGGCCAUUAUGGGAAACACAUGGUUCCUGUGUGUCUGACUUUUUAAACCUUUUCACACUCUUGUCUAAGACUGUGGUUUGGAUAUUGAUCCCAAACUAUGUAGGUCUGAAGAAUCGUGGCUGCCAUUUUUUUAUGGAUGGAUUUACCCCUCCUGCUCCUCAGUGCAGAAAUUUUCUGAUCCUAAGAGGAUGGUUUCUAAUUUAGGUCAUUUUGCAAGAAGGCAUUGCAUAUACUUUGACACAAACAAAGUUCUGGUUUGCAUGCAGCCAAGAGAAUGACAGCUCAGUCAUUCAGGUCCUGAUGCUUAUACUCAGGGAGCUGCUGUAUCAGAACCAGAGUUUGGGCUCUGACCUGGCUCUCUACCAAAUCCUGGGUCAGAAGCUGGGCUCUGCCACAUCUUCCUCUGAGGGAUUCAUUGUUCCAUCCACAAAAUGGCUAUUAUUUUUUCUUUUAGUUUUCUGGGACCAGAUAGAAAUUUCUGAAAUAAGGGCUGCCUUGUAGUUAUGGGUGACAUAGUUUUAAAAACCAAAUGGAAGCUAUAUUGCUGUGAAGACACAACUCAUAUGUAUAGAUUGAUAGAUAUGUACAGACACACAAAUUAUUAAUAGUAGCCAUCUCUGGAUGGUGAUAUUUUAAUUAUUCCUUUUGUUAUUGACAUUUUCUAACUUUUUUACAAUGAACCCAAAUUAUUUGUAUAAUGAAAAAAACGUAAAAAAAAAAAUCUCAUUCUUGGUGCUCAGAGCAAGGGAACUGUAAGCCAUGGUGAGCUGAGAAAAGGAGAGAAUUAAUGGCCUUAAGACAGCCUGCAGGACCAGCCACCCCACAAGGCACUUGGGGUGUGGCUGCCUUGGACUUUGUUGUGUGUAUGUGUGUUCAUGUAUAUGUACAUGUGUGUAUGCGUAUUUAUAUGGGCAUGCAUGUAUGUGUAUUGUGUGCAUGUGUGUGUUAUAUGUAUGGGCAUGCAUGUAUGUGUGUAUGAGUUCAUGAGUGUGGGCAUGUGUGUUAUGUUUAUGUAUAUAUGUGGUAUGUUAUAUGCAUGUGCUUGUGUGUAUGCAUAUUCAUGUGUGUUUGUGUUCCAGACGCUCAAAACCAUCCCAUGCUGCCCCCUGGGACAUGAGCCCAGCAUUCUUCAUCUGGGAUCUCUCACUCUUCACUUGGGUUUCUAUCUUCUGCAAAGAGUUGCUUCUGAGGCAAUGAAGGGCUUGGCUCUGUGUGGUCAGGGAGAUGUGCGGAGCUCAACAAUAGAAAAUUCCUCAGUUAAUAUCACCAAAUUUCAUUCCGGCAUAUGUAAUAUGGGACCAAUUAUGUACUCAUGUCUUCAGAUUGUUAUGAGGAUUUAAUGAGAUAAUCCACGAGAAACCUUUAACACACUGCUUGGCAUGUAGAAAGGGCUCAAUAAAUGUUGCCUGUUAUUAUUCCUAACACUAUCAUGCUGCUCAUUGCUUUCCACUGGGAAAGGAAAAUAGACUCCUGGAUUCACUGUCCCUGCCCGUGAACAGAGGUGGUUUUGGAAGCCGUGGCAGCACCCAGUGACCUUCUCCUCAAACUCAGCUUCUCUGAAUUUGGUGAGCCCCUGAGCCCUUGUAGGUAGCCUUAUCUUACCUCCCACAUCCCGCUCUAAGGAGCCUUCAGGGAUUUUUAAAAUUUAUUUUUAAUUUUUAUUUAUUUAUUUAUUUUUGAGACAGAGUCUUACUCUGUCACCCAGGCUGGAGUGCUGUGGUGCUAUCUCAGCUCACUGCAACCUCCACCAUCUGGGUUCAAGUGAUUCUCCUGCCACAGUCUUCCAAGUAGCCAGGCCUACAGGUACGUGCUACCACGCCGGCUAAUUUUUGGUAUUUUUUGUAGAGACAGGGUUUCACCAUGUUAGCCAGGAUGGUCUGGGUCUCCUGACCUCGUGAUCUGCCUGCCUUGGCCUCCCAAAGUAUUGGGAUUACAGGCGUGAGCCACUGCGCCCUGUCACCUUCAGGGAUUUUGUAACUUCUAAGUCUGGUGGUCAGUAGCUCUCUGUGUUCCUCUACCCACCUCAGACCAGGCCAAGGUGAAUGCUCAUACGUAGCACAUGGAGACCUAGGCGUGCUGGCUCAGCUUUGGAGCAGUGGAGGCAAGUAGAAGCCACUGGAGGAAGCCAAUCAACCACACACCCUCCCAGGUCCUGGCAUCUGACCCAAGUAUCAGCCUACCAGUAUUGCCACCUGCUGACACAUUUACGUGAUAACAGAUUAUGAGAGGUUCGGCAAAGAUCCUGAACUGUCUUAUCCACAACGGUACAAACCACUUGGAGUGGAAGGAAACACUAUAUGGAAAUUGCCAUCUGCGCAAGCAGCCUGAUUAGAUGACAUCUGCAGACCUCCAUAGAACCAGCUGAUACAUUCACCCUUAGCUUGAAGUCUGGAUUAUACGACCCCACUACAAGCUGGUGGAAGGCAGACUGUGAAGGGGAUGAAGGCUCCCAUUCAGAGGCAGCUAAUGCAGCAGCCGAAAAAGAGGAAGCGGAAGUCAGCAACUGAGGACAACAGAACAGAACUAAUUCAGGAUUGUCCUGGGCAAUCAAGAUGUGUGGUCAUCUGACCUAUGUGGUGGCUCUAAGGCUUGUUGUACCUGCCUGAUUGCGUCUUCCCUGGGCCCACCAGCUCACCUGUGCUCACCCCAGUCCAGCCACACUAGCUUUCCUGAUGAUUCCUGAAUAUGCCAGGCAAGUUUAUGCACCUCCAGGUCCCUCUGCCUGGGAUGCUCUUGCUUUGGAGGGUCACAGACUUCCUCCCUCACCUCCCUCAAGUCUUUACUCAAUGUUAUUUGAGCGAAGGGCCUUCCUGGCCAGACUAUUUAAAGUGGACUGUUUCCAUAGCCUCCACUCCUUCCUUGCUUUUCUUAUGGCACGCAUCACCUUCUAACAUGAUAAGUAACUUAUUAUUUAUUUUGUCGAUAUUUUUGUGUCCCCUCACUACAAUGCAAGUUCCAUAAAGGCAAAGAUGUUUGACUGUUUUAUUUGCUGCUGCAUCCCUGAAUGUCUGCAACAAUGCCUGACACUUAGUGCCUAAUAAAUCUCCUAAGUAAAAGUAGUUGACUGGCCUCCUUAGUGAAAUAUCGUCUCAAAAUGAACAGUUCAGGCCGUUCAGCCUAAGUGUACUGAAGAAUGUUUUGCAUGAGAGAUUUUUUUUUAAGUUAGUAGCUUUUGAAAACAGCCUAGAGCCAUGUCUAAAACAAAAUGUAUGGCCCAUGUGCAGCACAAUUUUCUGUUAUAAAGUUUCCCUCCACAUCUCUUAGUAUCAUAAAUUAUUAUAGCUGGAAGAAAUCAGCUCUAAAAUUCUAUGAUUCUAAGUGACAAGCACUAUUAUGUCUUUAAAAAAUUGAAAUGAUAUAUUUUCUGGAUAGUCAAGAAAACUGGAGGUCAGGGCAAUAAGGGGAAACUGAGGAUUUGGACAAUUUAUGAAUCAAUUUCUGAGGUUGGCAGACUGUUGGCAUUUCUCCCAAUUGCUGUGGGGGGCAUUUCAAUCCCGCCUCUAGCUGCUGGAAUAAUACUACUUCCAUUUCUUUAGCUCCCCUCUAAAGUCUGCAGAUUCGGGUAGAUAAAUCGUCAGCGGUCCUUCCCAUUUCUGAGGCAUUAAGCUUAAAUCCUGUCAAGGUUCCCCAUAUAUUAAAAAUAAAACUUCUAUUAACUUUUCCCCUGUCAGAGCGAUCAGAGUUAAAUUAAUUUUUAACACUUGGGUAGAACAGCAGAAGAGAAAUGUGCCCCCAGAGCCACCAUGCAUGGGCUGCUGGUCAGUUAGGGAGACUUGAACCAUCACACUGCUGGCGGAUGCUGCCCUAACCACUAGGAUGUGUUGGGAGGGGCUCUGUUCCCAUAGACAGCGCCUCUGGCAUUAUAAAUGAUAUUGGUGGCAUCCCAGGCUACAGCCAUCAGGCCAUGUGCAGGCAGAUUGCUAAGCAAGACAUUGAGCCCUGGCCUGGGGGUAGACCACUGAGAUGGACAGCCAGCCCAGCCUGCCUGGUUUGGUCAUGUGGCAUCCUCACUCCUAGAGAAGAUGCUCUGUGACUCACCCACUGUGCCCAGGGAAAUAGCUUGUUUCUGGGGCUGAGUCUAAAGUGUGUGAGAACAUGGGCUCUACACUAGAUCUAUAAAUGAAUGUGUUUUAAUUGCUUAAAAGCUUGGAGACCUUGAGCAAAAAAAUAGAAAAAAGAGCUACUAUUGACAUAGCACUUACUUUAUCUUGGGCACUGAGCAAAGGUAUAUGUAUAUGUGUAUGCAAUAUGUCUAAUAAUAUAAUAUACUCAGUUAUAAUUUGUAAUUUUAUUAUGUAUAUAUUUGUAAAAGAGAAAGAGGUUUUCCUCACUGACUCCUCCUUCAUAUAAUUAAGUAUUAUUUUCUCACUUUUUAGAUGAGGAAUCUCAGGUCCUGGGACAAAAAUUGGUACCACAGAAGCCAUGCAACUGGCAAAUGCCAGAGUUGUUUGAACUCAUGUCUGUCUGAAUAGAAAGCAAGUGUUUUUAACCAAAUAAUGCAAAUUAUUCAAAAUCUCUGAUCCCAGGUUUUCCAUCUGUAAAAUGGGGAAAUAGUACCCACUUCACAGGCUUGUUGUCAAAAUCAAUGAAGAAAAUGUGUGUGAAGGGCUGAGCACAGAGCCUGGUGCAGAGCUUGAUAAAUGCUAGCUCUUGUAGUAGCAGUAGCAAUAACUAAAUUCCCUCUUUCUUGCAAGUCAUAAGAAGAUCUUUAUGCUCAAAUUAAUGUUAUGAUUAUUAAAAGGAUCAAUGCAACAAGAAGAGCUAACAAUCCUAAAUAUAUACGCACCCAAUACAGGAGCACCCAUAUACAUAAGGCAAGUUCUUAAUGACUUAU
Sapajus apella (tufted capuchin) is the source of this 18005-nucleotide long non-coding RNA. RefSeq lists it as uncharacterized. Lineage: Eukaryota; Metazoa; Chordata; Mammalia; Primates; Cebidae. The transcript has 10 exons. The record is from RefSeq and is a predicted model, not a curated record.